CCUCACUCGAGAGGACUUUCACUGGGGAGCUGAGGGCUAAGGCUGCACGGAGCUAUAUGUAAAAACUAAGUAAUUCUACAGACUCUAGAGCCCCACUGGGCUAGCAUUAUGUUUGUUUGAGUUUACUCUGGGUGUGGUGGAGGGCCUUUAAAACAAUAAAGGUACGUUUGAGUUCAUUUACUCCCCGUGUCUGUGUAUCUCUGUGUGCUUCCUCCUUCCGGGUCACAGUGUUCACGCCCCUAACCCCAGGGGCCUACCACAGUGGUGGAGAACGCUACCGGGGGCCGCCGCUCAGCCAGCCCCAGCGCUACCAAGAGCCGCUGCUCAGCCAGCCCCGGCGCUACCAAGAGCCACUGCUCAGCCAGCCCCGGCGCUGCCGAGAGCCGCCGCUCAGCCAGCCCCGGUGCCACGAGCAGCCGCUCCACCUGUGCCGGUGCCACGAGCAGCCCCUCCACCUGUCCCGGUGCCACGAGCAGCUGCUCCACCUGUGCCGGUGCCACGAGCAGCCCCUCCACCUGUCCCGGUGCCACGAGCAGCCGCUCCACCUGUCCCGGUGCCACGAGCAGCCGCACCGCCAGCCACGGCGCUGCCGAGAGCCGCCGCACCGCCCACCACGGCGCUGCCGAGAGCCGCCACUCUGCGAGGCUCAGGGACAGAGGCUGGGAGGUGGGCUUCCAUCUCCCCGGGCCUCUCUCUGGAGGGGGGGGCCCAAGCGAACGAACUGGAUCCCCCGCUCUCCUCACCCCGCCUCUCUUCGUUCGCUCCAGUCACCAGGUCACGCCUCACCUUCGACCCUGGUGGCUGGAAGCUUAGGGGGAGGGACUGUGGCGUGAAUUAAUUAAACGAUUUCUCGAGGCACAGAAAAUUAAUCGAUCAUUUUUUUAAUCGAGUUACUUGAUUUACUCGAGUAAUCGUUUCACCACUAAAAGCACAACCAUCCAGCUCAAUUCAUCCAGCUGAAUAUUGAAUAUAAAAAUUGUUACUUCAGAGAGAUCCUGCCUCAAGCCCCACACAGUAAACAUGCUGGGGUUCCUGCUCAGAAUUUGUCUGACAGUUACAUUAAAAAUAUAUUUAUAGCAAG
RNAcentral lists this long non-coding RNA (1081 nucleotides) under Astyanax mexicanus (Mexican tetra). Its description in RNAcentral is "lncRNA (ENSAMXG00005012042.1)". Lineage: Eukaryota; Metazoa; Chordata; Actinopteri; Characiformes; Acestrorhamphidae. The record is from RNAcentral.